Molecule: ribosomal RNA, 253 nt
Filed under: uncultured bacterium
Lineage: Bacteria
Description: partial 16S ribosomal RNA
Rfam family: Bacterial small subunit ribosomal RNA
Source: RNAcentral
GACGGGGGGUGCAAGCGUUGUUCGGAAUCAUUGGGCGUAAAGCGCGUGCAGGUGGCUCUGUAAGUCAGAUGUGAAAGCCCCGGGCUUAACCCGGGAAGUGCAUUUGAAACUGCAAAGCUUGAGUAUGGAAGAGGGUCGUGGAAUUCCAGGUGUAGUGGUGAAAUACGUAGAUAUCUGGAGGAACACCGGUGGCGAAGGCGGCGACCUGGUCCAAUACUGACACUCAUACGCGAAAGCGUGGGGAUCAAACAGG